GAUGAACGCUGGCGGCGUGCCUAAUACAUGCAAGUCGAGCGAACAGACGAGGAGCUUGCUCCUUCGACGUUAGCGGCGGACGGGUGAGUAACACGUAGGUAACCUACCUAUAAGACUGGGAUAACUUCGGGAAACCGGAGCUAAUACCGGAUAAUAUUUCGAACCGCAUGGUUCGAUAGUGAAAGAUGGCUUUGCUAUCACUUAUAGAUGGACCUGCGCCGUAUUAGCUAGUUGGUAAGGUAACGGCUUACCAAGGCAACGAUACGUAGCCGACCUGAGAGGGUGAUCGGCCACACUGGAACUGAGACACGGUCCAGACUCCUACGGAAGGCAGCAGUAGGGAAUCUUCCGCAAUGGGCGAAAGCCUGACGGAGCAACGCCGCGUGAGUGAUGAAGGUCUUCGGAUCGUAAAACUCUGUUAUUAGGGAAGAACAAACGUGUAAGUAACUGUGCACGUCUUGACGGUACCUAAUCAGAAAGCCACGGCUAACUACGUG
This 497-nucleotide ribosomal RNA is filed under the name uncultured bacterium. RNAcentral describes it as "partial 16S ribosomal RNA". It matches the Rfam family "Bacterial small subunit ribosomal RNA", at positions 28 to 507 of the family's 1533-position model. The record is from RNAcentral.